UGGGGAAUAUUUCACAAUGGGCGCAAGCCUGAUGCAGCCAUGCCGCGUGUAUGAAGAAGGCCUUCGGGUUGUAAAGUACUUUCAGUCGGGAGGAAGGUGGUAAGGUUAAUAACCUUAUCAAUUGACGUUACCGACAGAAGAAGCACCGGCUAACUCCGUGCCAGCAGCCGCGGUAAUACGGAGGGUGCAAGCGUUAAUCGGAAUUACUGGGCGUAAAGCGCACGCAGGCGGUUGAUUGAGUCAGAUGUGAAAUCCCCGGGCUCAACCUGGGAACUGCAUCGGAUACUGGCAAGCUUGAGUCUCGUAGAGGGGGGUAGAAUUCCAGGUGUGGCGGUGAAAUGCGUAGAGAUCUGGAGGAAUACCGGUGGCGAAGGCGGCCCCCUGGACAAAGACUGACGCUCAGGUGCGAAAGCGUGGGGAGCAAACAGG
RNAcentral lists this ribosomal RNA (429 nucleotides) under Chloroflexota bacterium. RNAcentral's name for it is "Chloroflexi bacterium partial 16S ribosomal RNA". It matches the Rfam family "Bacterial small subunit ribosomal RNA", at positions 355 to 776 of the family's 1533-position model. The record is from RNAcentral. Lineage: Bacteria; Bacillati; Chloroflexota.